Molecule: ribosomal RNA, 373 nt
Filed under: uncultured organism
Description: partial 16S ribosomal RNA
Rfam family: Bacterial small subunit ribosomal RNA
Source: RNAcentral
GUAGGUGGCAAGCGUUGUCCGGAAUUAUUGGGCGUAAAGCGCGCGCAGGGCGGUCCUUUAAGUCUGAUGUGAAAGCCCACGGCUCAACCGUGGAGGGUCAUUGGAAACUGGGGGACUUGAGUACAGAAGAGGAAAGCGGAAUUCCAAGUGUAGCGGCGAAAUGCGUAGAGAUUUGGAGGAACACCAGUGGCGAAGGCGGCUUUCUGGUCUGUAACUGACGCUGAGGCGCGAAAGCGUGGGGAGCAAACAGGAUUAGAUACCCUGGUAGUCCACGCCGUAAACGAUGAGUGCUAAGUGUUAGGGGGUUUCCGCCCCUUAGUGCUGCAGCUAACGCAUUAAGCACUCCGCCUGGGGAGUACGGCCGCAAAGGCUG